CAAAUUCGUGUCUAAGGGAGU
This 21-nucleotide microRNA is filed under the name Salmo salar (Atlantic salmon). Its description in RNAcentral is "ssa-miR-10a-3p". Its record names the gene ssa-miR-10a-3p. Lineage: Eukaryota; Metazoa; Chordata; Actinopteri; Salmoniformes; Salmonidae. The record is from miRBase by way of RNAcentral.